UCUUAGAAUAUUUUGGAAAAUUUAAAUUGUUUUUUUAUUUAUUGAAAUAAUAAAAAAUUUGGAAUAUUUAUGCAGAUAGAAAGUAAACCAUUAUCGACAAUUGUUUUAUAAAAAAUGUCUUGGACCAAUCAUUGCAAAGGGAUAACUUCAUUGAAGAAACUACUAUUACAAUGAGGACCAACAUCUAGACAUAAAGGAAUAUUCCGAAAAAAAGCAUCACUUAUAUAAAUAUAUCUAAAUAUAACAAAUGGACAACAAAUCACCAUCGACAACGUAGUGAAAAGAAAAAAAAAGUUUCAGUGAAUAAAUGUUAUCAGAACUCGAUAGGAAUCUGUCGAAUCAAGCAAGAAAUACAUUAUUUGGAUAAACAAAUUUUAAUUUAACAACUGAAAAACAAAUAUAUACAAAGCGUAAAUCUACGCCAUCUAUCAAGCAAUUUCGGAAUUACAGAUUCAUUUUUACUUCUUUAAGAAAAUAUUGUAAAACAAUAUCAAAACAUCAUGAUGAUAUCAACAAAAAUUGUAAUGUCUUUCCAUCGUAUAUAAUUACUUUAUUUGUCAAAUCAACAAUAAUAAUACAUAAUCCUAUUUGUAAUAUUAAUGACAAAUUUAAAUUUAUGACGUCAUCAACAGUUGUGGGAUUAUUUGAUGCGGUCUUACAAUGCCCGGCCAAGUUUCAAACUAUGGUAAACGCGAACACAGUUAAACAUAGAAAAUGUCAAAAAGAGUAAAUGUCGACGAAUUUUUAAAUUUUGGCAUGUCGUCGUCAAUCGCGUGAAAAAUGCAUCACUGGGGUUUAUUUCCAAGAGAAACAAAUACAUUUUACAAAUUAAAGGAUUCAUAAAAUUGCAGAAAGAGAAUUGAUACAAGAACUAGAUGUUUCACUAUCCCUAAUAACGAAAUAACCAAAUAUUCGUUUUAUUUAUUUCGGAAAUGCAAAAAAAGCUGACGUCCCAGGUAUGGGUUUAGACCAUUGAAGAGCCAAUUGAGAGAGCUUCAAAAUGACGUACUACUCAAUCACCUUGAAGCGGUCGAGAAUGUGUAAAACUACCCCCAAUACUAAAAUAACCAAAUGUUUAUUUUAUUUAUUUCGGACUCGCAAAAAAAGCUGACGUCCCAGGUAACAAAUUAGGCCAUUGAAAAACCGCUUAGAAGAUGCUAGUUUAACAGCAAAAUUUAUCAUCAAUGACUUAUCAAUAAAACGACUUCUGAUAACUUCAAGAGAAAUUACCAUAAGAAAUUUAAAUAAACCAUCAUUGCCAAUUUGGAAAGAAAAUUAUCCAAGUAAAAUAUUAUUUGGAUAAAUGGAUAUAAACACAGUUGCGACGUUAUCCAAUACGGUUCUGCAGUGCCCUUCCGAAUUUGAAUCUAUGGUAUACACAACCAUAUUCGAACACGAAGAAGAGUCGUUGAAGACGCCGAGAUGAGAACAAGAUUUUGGAAUAUCGUCGUUCAUCGCGCAAAGAAUACAUCGCGGGGAUUUAUUUUGAGAAGAAACAGAAAUAUUUCAUACAUAACAUUUGAUUAGGAUACCCAAGAAAUUACGCAAAAGCAAAACAAUACAGAUAAUAGAAAAGUGAGCAUACAGAAAAAUAUUUGAUAUGAUUCAACAACAAGGUGUUUAGUCAUAAAGAAUGAUUCCAAUUCGGAUUAGAUAGUUUUCAUCAAGUACGAGUGAAUAUACCUCGUACAACAUAAAAAUUACUGCGAGUUAGUUAUCAAAGAAACAAUUGUAGACAACUUCUAAAGAAAUUGUCAUAAGGAACUUGCCAAAAUUGCCAUCACCGAUUUGAGAUGGAUAUAUUUCUGCAAAUGAACAACAAACCAUCAUUGACCAUUGAUGAUCACUUUUAUGAAGAAUGUCUUUGACCAUUCAUCCAAAAAAAAAGCCGUUGAUAAUUUCAUCAAAAAGAUUACCGUUGUGACCCUGCAAGGACCGAUGUCAUCUAGACGAGAAGAGGUUUUCCAAGAAAUAGGAUACUCGAAUAAAAAGAUUCAAAUGUACCAAGCAAGUUUUAAAUAAACUCAUAUCGUAUAUUA
Long non-coding RNA from Cylas formicarius (sweet potato weevil), 2039 nucleotides. RefSeq lists it as uncharacterized. The transcript has 6 exons. NCBI's taxonomy places the organism in Eukaryota, Metazoa, Arthropoda, Insecta, Coleoptera, Brentidae. The record is from RefSeq and is a predicted model, not a curated record.